RNAcentral lists this non-coding RNA (29 nucleotides) under Homo sapiens (human). The record is from RNAcentral. Lineage: Eukaryota; Metazoa; Chordata; Mammalia; Primates; Hominidae.
AAACUUACAAUGAUGGCACAAGGGGAAGC